This 435-nucleotide ribosomal RNA is filed under the name Triticum aestivum (bread wheat). Its description in RNAcentral is "partial small subunit ribosomal RNA". The record is from RNAcentral. Lineage: Eukaryota; Viridiplantae; Streptophyta; Magnoliopsida; Poales; Poaceae.
AUGAGAGCUCUUUUCUGGAAUGUUGGUGGUUUUGGUGCUAGGGGGCGUCGGGACCAGAUUCAUGACUUGGUGUGUGGUGAGCAUAUUGACAUUUUAGGUCUGGUCGAAACUUUUAAGGAAUCCUUUUCCCUUUCUGAAUUGUCUGCGCUGGCUGGGAUGGGUAGAUUUGACUGGCAUUUUCUUCCUGCUUCGGGUCACUCUGGAGGUAUCUAGAUUGGCUCCAAGCGAGACAUUUUUGACUUCAUUGCUUUUGAUCAUGGCAUCUUUUGGGCUAGCUACGUAGUGCAUCAUCGCCAACUGAAUACGUUGUGGGAAUUCAUGGUGGUUUACGGGCCCGCGGAUCAUUCGCUUGCUCCUCUUUUUUUGGAUGAACUCUCGAUAAAGAUUGAGGCCUGCAAUAUCUCUCUGCUAAUUGGGGGAGACUUUAAUCUGCUG